Molecule: ribosomal RNA, 430 nt
Filed under: uncultured bacterium
Lineage: Bacteria
Description: bacterial SSU rRNA
Rfam family: Bacterial small subunit ribosomal RNA
Source: RNAcentral
UGGGGAAUAUUGCGCAAUGGGGGAAACCCUGACGCAGCGACGCCGCGUGAGUGAUGAAGGCUUUCGGGUCGUAAAGCUCUGUUUUAAGGGACGAAGAACUGCAGGAAUAAUACGUCUGCAGCGUGACGGUACCUUAAGAGGAAGCCCCGGCUAACUACGUGCCAGCAGCCGCGGUAAGACGUAGGGGGCGAGCGUUGUCCGGAAUUACUGGGCGUAAAGAGCACGUAGGUGGACCAUUAAGUCAGGUGUGAAAGACCGGGGCUCAACUCCGGGGUUGCACUUGAAACUGGUGGUCUUGAGGGCAGGAGAGGAAAGUAGAAUUCCUGGUGUAGCGGUGAAAUGCGUAGAAAUCAGGAGGAAUACCAGUGGCGAAGGCGGCUUUCUGGACUGUCCCUGACACUGAGGUGCGAAAGCGUGGGGAGCAAACAGG